UACGUAGGUCCCGAGCGUUGUCCGGAUUUAUUGGGCGUAAAGCGAGCGCAGGUGGUUUAUUAAGUCUGGUGUAAAAGGCAGUGGCUCAACCAUUGUAUGCAUUGGAAACUGGUAGACUUGAGUGCAGGAGAGGAGAGCGGAAUUCCAUGUGUAGCGGUGAAAUGCGUAGAUAUAUGGAGGAACACCGGUGGCGAAAGCGGCUCUCUGGCCUGUAACUGACACUGAGGCUCGAAGGCGUGGGGAGCAAACAGG
Molecule: ribosomal RNA, 252 nt
Filed under: uncultured bacterium
Lineage: Bacteria
Description: partial 16S ribosomal RNA
Rfam family: Bacterial small subunit ribosomal RNA
Source: RNAcentral